AGUUCAGCGAUGUCCAAAACCGGGUCCGGGAACCGGCCCCUGGGCGGAAAACUACCUAGGAAGCAGGAAAAGGCCCUUCAAGAGGCGGACGAAAAAUUUUUGUCACUCGCGGCCCCGGAGUGCCAAGGCAUUACUGCGCGUCAGGCGCGGGCUUCACCAUUCGUCUUCAGCCUGGCCAAGCACCUGCCCGUCUCGGCGCGGACCGCAUGAAACCACCCUCAGGCGGGACAUUGCACGGAACGGUAGCGGUCGCCGUGGUGUUCAUCGUCGGAAGGACCAGGCA
RNAcentral lists this unclassified non-coding RNA (283 nucleotides) under Hevea brasiliensis (rubber tree). Lineage: Eukaryota; Viridiplantae; Streptophyta; Magnoliopsida; Malpighiales; Euphorbiaceae. The record is from RNAcentral.